UAGGGAAUAUUAGAAAUGGACGAAAGUCUGAUCUAGCAACACCGCGUGUGCGAAGAAGGCCUUCGGGUCGUAAAGCACUUUUUGGAAGGAAUAGGAAGGAAUGUACUUCCAGAAUAAGUCUCGGCUAACUACGUGCCAGCAGCCGCGGUAACACGUAGGAGGCAAACGUUAUCCGGAUUUACUGGGCGUAAAGCGCGUGUAGGUGGUACUGUAAGUAGGGCGUGAAAGCUCCUGGCUCAACUGGGAGAGGCCGUUCUAAACUACAGGACUAGAGGAUGGUAGAGGGAGGUGGAAUUCCAGGUGUAGCGGUGGAAUGCGCAGAUAUCUGGAGGAACACCGGUGGCGAAGGCGGCCUCCUGGACCAUUCCUGACACUCAGACGCGAAAGCUAGGGUAGCAAACGG
Molecule: ribosomal RNA, 403 nt
Filed under: uncultured bacterium
Lineage: Bacteria
Description: bacterial SSU rRNA
Rfam family: Bacterial small subunit ribosomal RNA
Source: RNAcentral